RNAcentral lists this ribosomal RNA (253 nucleotides) under uncultured bacterium. RNAcentral's name for it is "partial 16S ribosomal RNA". It matches the Rfam family "Bacterial small subunit ribosomal RNA", at positions 524 to 776 of the family's 1533-position model. The record is from RNAcentral.
UACGUAGGGUGCUAGCGUUGUCCGGAUUUAUUGGGCGUAAAGGGCUCGUAGGCGGUGUGUCGCGUCGGGAGUGAAAGCCCGUUGCUUAACGGCGGGUUGGCUUUCGGUACGGGCAUGCUGGAGUGCGGCAGGGGAGACUGGAAUUCCUGGUGUAGCGGUGGAAUGCGCAGAUAUCAGGAGGAACACCGGUGGCGAAGGCGGGUCUCUGGGCCGUUACUGACGCUGAGGAGCGAAAGCGUGGGGAGCGAACAGG